AGUGAACGCUGGCGGUAGGCCUAACACAUGCAAGUCGAACGGCAGCACAGUAAGAGCUUGCUCUUACGGGUGGCGAGUGGCGGACGGGUGAGGAAUACAUCGGAAUCUACUUUUUCGUGGGGGAUAACGUAGGGAAACUUACGCUAAUACCGCAUACGACCUACGGGUGAAAGCAGGGGAUCUUCGGACCUUGCGCGAUUGAAUGAGCCGAUGUCGGAUUAGCUAGUUGGCGGGGUAAAGGCCCACCAAGGCGACGAUCCGUAGCUGGUCUGAGAGGAUGAUCAGACACACUGGAACUGAGACACGGUCCAGACUCCUACGGGAGGCAGUAGUGGGGAAUAUUGGACAAUGGGCGCAAGCCUGAUCCAGCCAUACCGCGUGGGUGAAGAAGGCCUUCGGGUUGUAAAGCCCUUUUGUUGGGAAAGAAAAGCAGCAGGUUAAUACCCCGCUGUUCUGACGGUACCCAAAGAAUAAGCACCGGCUAACUUCGUG
This 492-nucleotide ribosomal RNA is filed under the name uncultured bacterium. RNAcentral's name for it is "partial 16S ribosomal RNA". It matches the Rfam family "Bacterial small subunit ribosomal RNA", at positions 29 to 507 of the family's 1533-position model. The record is from RNAcentral.